CGGGUGAAAAGCCCGCUCGCCGGAAGACCAAGGGUUCCUGUCCAACGUUAAUCGGGGCAGGGUGAGUCGACCCCUAAGGCGAGGCCGAAAGGCGUAGUCGAUGGGAAACAGGUUAAUAUUCCUGUACUUGGUGUUACUGCGAAGGGGGGACGGAGAAGGCUAUGUUAGCCGGGCGACGGUUGUCCCGGUUUAAGCAUGUAGGCUGAUUGUCCAGGCAAAUCCGGAUAAUCAAGGCUGAGGUGUGAUGACGAGGCACUACGGUGCUGAAGUAACAAAUGCCCUGCUUCCAGGAAAAGCCUCUAAGCAUCAGGUAACAUUAAAUCGUACCCCAAACCGACACAGGUGGUCAGGUAGAGAAUACCAAGGCGCUUGAGAGAACUCGGGUGAAGGAACUAGGCAAAAUGGUGCCGUAACUUCGGGAGAAGGCACGCUGGUGUGUAGGUGAAG
Molecule: ribosomal RNA, 447 nt
Filed under: Klebsiella pneumoniae
Lineage: Bacteria; Pseudomonadati; Pseudomonadota; Gammaproteobacteria; Enterobacterales; Enterobacteriaceae
Description: partial 23S ribosomal RNA
Rfam family: Bacterial large subunit ribosomal RNA
Source: RNAcentral